GUCGGGGUGGUGAAAUAGGCAGACACAGGAGGCUUAAAACUUCCCGCCGAAAGGCAUGUGGGUUCGAGUCCCACCCCCGACA
This 82-nucleotide transfer RNA is filed under the name Minisyncoccota bacterium. Its description in RNAcentral is "tRNA-Leu". It matches the Rfam family "tRNA". From Rfam's summary of the family: Transfer RNA (tRNA) molecules are approximately 80 nucleotides in length. Their secondary structure includes four short double-helical elements and three loops (D, anti-codon, and T loops). RNAcentral also lists the same sequence under 1 other name. Lineage: Bacteria; Bacillati; Minisyncoccota. The record is from RNAcentral.